CGUCGUUGUCCAUUUGGCUGCGACCGUCUGCAAAAGGCCAGCCAUGGCGCUCUCCGGGCGGUGGAUGGGCCCGUACUCCUUGAUGAUUCGUCGUCGUCGCUCUCGUCGUCAUUGCAAACUUCUAUCCAACGAAUCUUUUUCCUUCUUCUGUGUUUUUUGUCUGAUCGAGAGAAACUCCUCGUCAUCAGCGGUAACGUCGAACCGUUCUCUUUUGGCGGUGGAUCCAAAAGCGACGUGUUUUGGUACUUCCGCCUCUCUUGAAUCGGUACUAGUCCGGUGUAGCCUCUGCAAGCGGCGCACACGGAAAGCAUCAACCGUCUUCAUCACCCUCUCUUCCGAAGAAGAUAAUGCUGAUGCAUGGAGUUCUUUAAAUUCAGUGGGAAUUAUCAGAUUCCUAAUUUGUUGUUGGUUAACAUUCACAUUCCAUCGGUCUUCUGAUGAGUCCUGUGCUGUAGUUGGUGCUUCAACUUGUGCAUUUAGAGAAAGGAAUUAUGAUAGUUGCUUUCUAGAUUAAGGAUUGGCAUCACAAGUUUGCUGCUACAAAAUUUGGAACUUUGAAGUGGUAACACCCUUUUAGGGAAGGAUCCUGGAUAAGCUGUGAAGAUAGUAGGUUAGCACCCUCUCAAAGGAAAGGGAAAUAUUCAAUGUUUGCUGAAGUGAACACCAGCAAAGGACCUUCUGUGCUCAAGUCAUCCAAGUAAAGGAGAAAGGAUGCCCCAGAAAUAAUGAUAUAGAAGUUCCAGGAUUUGGAGUAUGCACACUUGAUGUUGUUGAGUUGGAGUUACCUUCUAUAUGUGGUACAGGAGUUCCCCUAUCCCAAAACAGAUAGCAUCAUGGAUUUGAUUAGAAGGGUAUAUAAGGGAUAUUGCAGUUUUAAAAGGUAUAAUUUUUACAAUCAGUGUUAACAUUUUUUAAUGCUAAAACUGUUCAAUGCAUUGCUUACAAUGUGAUUGGUCAUCAAGGGACUAUCUCAAAGUUUGGGCCACUACAUGAAACAUUUUGCAGGCAAAACUAUUAUGAGAUUUGCUGAACAUUUUAAUGUUAGUCCUAUAAUAACUUGUUCAUGGAUUUGCUUGCUUUGAGCUGGGAUGUUUUUCUAUUUUUGUAACUUGUAUUCCAUUUGCUCAGUUCAUAUUUGGAGUUUAUGGAGAUUAAUUCGCAUAUCUCUGAGUUCCUUCUCCCUCCAUAUGUUCCACUAAUGGAUUUAUUUUGGUGUAGAGGAGCCCUUAUGUUGGAGUAUAUUGACUGAAAUAACCUUUUAUUAUUGAGAUUGGCAAUCAAGUACAUCAAAUCCUUGUGGAUACCCAAUUGCAAAUGUUCAUAUGAGAUUGGCAAUCAAGUACAUCAAAUCCAUCUUCAUGGCUUCCUGCAGAAUCAAUCAUUGGCUUAACAAUGCCUGUUGUCAUUUAUGGUACAGUCUGAUCAAUGAAAACUUGAUAACAGAGAUGUGGACUAAAUUUUGUGA
This is a long non-coding RNA of Musa acuminata AAA Group (dessert banana), 1465 nucleotides long. RefSeq lists it as uncharacterized. Lineage: Eukaryota; Viridiplantae; Streptophyta; Magnoliopsida; Zingiberales; Musaceae. The record is from RefSeq and is a predicted model, not a curated record. The transcript is spliced from 3 exons.